CGUCAAACGCGGCACUCCGGGUCCAGCAACGCAUGGUGAGUCUGCAAUAGAAGGAUUCUGCAAUAGAGGGGGUAGAGGAUUCCAUUACAGCCCAAACAAGCUGUUCAAGAAAUACACAACCGCAGAACCUUCUCAGCUUCCGAGCAGGCCCUGCACCCCAACCCAAAAGUACCCAUGGGUGCAGUAAACAUCGUUACACAACUGAAAACAAUCGACUGCACCCCCACAGAUGCUAUCCCCACCACCUUAUCCUGCCUGUGCAGAAAGCCGUCGCGCAACACCAGGUGCCUGUUGGGAAAAUGGGCACCGCCAUGAAGCUGCUCCGUGCAGUAAAGAGCAAGGGGAACGGCUCAGGGCGCACGUACACAUCCAAGUACCGCGGCGUGCAUCAGACCUUCCCCACCAAGCGCUGGGAGGCGCAGUUCCGCCGCAACGGCAAACCCACCUCCCUCGGUAAGAACAAAUCGCUCUCGGGCCGCCCUUACGCAGCCUGUGCCAAUCCUCGGGCCUCCUGCGCGGUGGAUGGAGGGCAGCUCUGCCAAUACGAGCAGGCGCUGCUAUCCGCUGUGUUGCCAUCACCCUGCUGUAGCUCAGGUGUCAGCAUCUCCACUUACUGCCGAUGUAAGCGCGACGUGCAUAGGGAGUGUAGUUGGAGAGGGAGCCCCGUCGCUGGGCCACGUAACAUUACCCCGUCAUCACCCCAGCUUUCUCUGCCUGAAUGCCAAUCCUCUCAAAAUCCAAGCGUCAAAGGGAACGCAUAUGCUGAUCGGAUAUCCGGAUAUCACAACUUUGCAAUUCUGGUGGAUGUGGAUCUGGACACUUCGUCGAAUGAACAGGAGCCAACCAACCUUUGGGUUUUUGUAAUCGC
This 868-nucleotide long non-coding RNA is filed under the name Volvox carteri. RNAcentral's name for it is "long non-coding RNA (VCAR_LNC002774)". The record is from RNAcentral. Lineage: Eukaryota; Viridiplantae; Chlorophyta; Chlorophyceae; Chlamydomonadales; Volvocaceae.